AGCAACUGGAGGAUGUCUGCAGAAGGGAAAUAUCUAAGAUCUCCAAGGCAGACAGAGCAGUGGGCAUUUAUGGCUGCUUUACUGAGACCAGGGAGCCCUCAGUAGCCAGUGCCUCAGCAGCUGAAGUGGAGGCCUGUCCCCUCUGCAUGGAGCCCUUGCAGAAGAAACAGAGGCUGACAUGUACUCAUGCCUUCUGCGCAGCCUGCUUGAAAAAAUCUGUGGAAAGCCUUGGUCUUCAGUGUCCAGUGUGUCUAAAAGCACUCAGAGUGCUGGGAGACCAGCCAUGGGUACAUAGGUAUAGCUUUACACAUGACUAUACAUCAUGCUGCAUUACAUACAUUAUUCCCAAUGGAAUACAGAUGGAGGCCCAUCCCAACCCAGGAAAGCCCUUUACUGGAAUCAAUACACAGACCUGGUUACCAAAAAGCCAACAGGGUCAGGAGGUGCUGAAGCUGCUGGAAAGAGCCUUUGACCAGAGGCUGGUUUUUACUGUGGCUGCAACCGAUGGAGCUGAAGACAGAGUCGCCUUCACUGACAUCCCCCGUGCAAGAAACUCGAGUGAGUGCAGAAAGCCUGGUUUCCUGCAGGAAGUGAAGGCGGCGCUCAGAGCCAAAUUCAUUGAAUGAUUGGAUGAACAGAGACGUCAGAUCCUCAGCACAGCACCACCAAAUGGACAAGAAGGGAAACACUCUGAAGAUCACCACAUUUCAAAGAUGGACACGCAAUAGAUAGACAUUAGAAACGGAGAAGAACCAGCCAGUUGACCCUUGCCGUUUAUGAAGUCAGAAAGCAGAAUGAUAACUGAAGAUAGUGGCAGGUCACUGCUUUAGAAACACAUAUGUGAUAAAUCUACUCAAUCCUGAUGGAUCUAAUUCUGCUGACUCUCUCAUAGACUC
Long non-coding RNA from Anguilla anguilla (European eel), 896 nucleotides. RefSeq lists it as uncharacterized. NCBI's taxonomy places the organism in Eukaryota, Metazoa, Chordata, Actinopteri, Anguilliformes, Anguillidae. The record is from RefSeq and is a predicted model, not a curated record. The transcript has 3 exons.